GACGAACGCUGGCGGCGUGCUUAACACAUGCAAGUCGAACGCUGAACCCGCUUCGGUGGGGGAUGAGUGGCGAACGGGUGAGUAACACGUGGGCAACCUGCCCCCGGCUCUGGGAUAACUCCAAGAAAUUGGGGCUAAUACCGGAUGUGACCGCUGGCCGCAUGGUCUGGUGGUGGGAAGGGUUUCCGGCUGGGGAUGGGCCCGCGGCCUAUCAGCUUGUUGGUGGGGUAGUGGCCUACCAAGGCGACGACGGGUAGCCGGCCUGGGAGGGUGACCGGCCACACUGGGACUGAGACACGGCCCAGACUCCUACGGGAGGCAGCAGUGGGGAAUAUUGCGCAAUGGGCGGAAGCCUGACGCAGCGACGCCGCGUGGGGAUGACGGCCUUCGGGUUGUAAACCUCUUUCAGCAGGGACGAAGCGCAAGUGACGGUACCUGCAGAAGAAGCACCGGCCAACUACGUG
Molecule: ribosomal RNA, 464 nt
Filed under: uncultured bacterium
Lineage: Bacteria
Description: partial 16S ribosomal RNA
Rfam family: Bacterial small subunit ribosomal RNA
Source: RNAcentral